GAACCGGAAGCUCUGUUGGUCAGUGGAUAAGAAAGUCAGAAACACCUGUGCGCACCUGGGUACUCGCCGUGUCCGCGGUACUGUAACGUUUGUGGAAUAAUUUGCUCGCCAUCUGCGGAGGUUGCCUCAAAUUUCUUUGGUAGUGUUCCUUUCUAAGUCAAAUUUAUUCUUGGACUUUCCAGCUUAGACGGAGCUAUCGCCGAGUCCUCUAACCUGACUGACAGACACUCUACAGUAAAGUUCUUCCAUCUUAUUGCAAUGACAAAGCAACCUUCAGAGGCUUUGAGUCAUCAGCAUGUGAUUUUCAGUGCCACAGCAGAGCAUCCAAUCACCAUCUGACUUAAAGUGGCAUGUCAAUCUGUAACAGACUUCUGCGAAGGAUACGAAGGAUGUAUCCUUGGUUACAGCUCUUCCAGUCAGCCACCUCACUCCUCAAAGCAGAAAUAAGAGCCUUUGGACAUCCUUCAUCAUGGCAGACCACGGCAACUUCUGGACCAAGAACUGAGGAAUGAUAAAAUAAGAGAACUGGGAUUCAGCAAAUGUCACUCCUCAUGGCUGCAUCUGUGCCUAGCAUAUCUGAGUUUGUGUACUGAAAACGGCUACCUGCGGGGUUUUUAUUAGUACAGUAGGGCGAUGAAAGCUAUGAAACUCAACCACAUUGAACCAGUGCAUUUCACUGAGGGAGUGUUUUAAAUCUAGGAGCAGAGCAACACAAGUGGAAAGCUGUCUGACCGUCUCUGCAUUAGAAAGCUGUUACUUGACAUUGAAUUGCUUUUUUUUUUUUUUUUUUCUCUCUCUGUUGGGGAUGCUACACAUUACUUCUGUUUUAACUUUUUCUACAUUAUAAUAUAUUGGUUACAUUUAUGUGAGUUAUGUUGGUCUAUACAAACUAUCUCUGAAAAGGUGACAAACAUCCUCCACCUCAGUAUUUUAUCCAACACCACAGCUUAAAACCAAUGACCAUGAUUUGCAGCAGCCUACUGAUAGUGUUGUUUUCAUCUUCACCAGGUUGACAAUGAGGAUAAAAUGUCACAUUUCAACAUGUUGUCUCAGAUGUUUUCGAGACAGGUUUAUGUGCUAUGGCAGCGAGGACAACAGGCCGUAUGCAUCACACUCACUGGAACACACAAUUAAUUGAAUGUGGCAGUGUGAUUACUGUACAGCUCCUCUCUGCCCGAUUCAAUUCCCAAACAGGAGAUAACAAGAUAGUGGAUGGCAGUAUAUCCUACACAAAGUCUAUGUGCUAAUGCAGGCUGUGUUUUCCAUUUGAUAUGCAGCUGUCUCCAGGCCUGCUAUUUCUGCUGUCAGAAGUGAAAAGAGAAUGGAGUGAGAUGAAAAAGGCCAGUUCACAGCAGGAGGACUCGAGCAACAAUAAGCUCACCCACCCCGACAAAACCGAUCAUUCGCUAAAAUAAACUUUGCCAUUUUAUAUUACGGUUUUUCUGUUUUUGACCAAUGGGACAAACUAAUACCUAUUUCUUUGUUUUUUUUUUCUGGAGAAUGUUUAUGCUGUCUUUGAGGUUUUAGGUGAUGGAACUAGGUCGUAGUAAAACAGAAAACACUUUGAGUCUUGUGUUUAAAGCUGCCUCCUGGCUCAGUCUGCAUAGGCAGUGGGGUUAAUUAGGAAACCUACUUUACUGAUGUGUUUCAAAUGAUGAAAUAAAAAAUUAACAGACAGCCCUUUCACGCCAGCGGGAAACCAUGGCAGAUAAACGAGGAGAACACCCUGUCCUGGUUACAAGCGCUCUCAGAAAAUACUGUAUCUGGCUGCUCCCAUGGCAUAACAAGGAACACAAGUACUACAGCACUAAUGUUGUGAUCAAAGUGGAUUGUGUUCCCUCUGACAUACACUCCUUUAAAACUGCCUUGUGAUAACUUUUCUAAAAGUUUUUUUCUAUAUACUAGAGAAGAGGCCAAUAUACUUCAAAAGCCGUAAAAGUAGCAAAGCAUAACUAAAGGUGGUCCCGAGAUAGAAGUUUAAAAGUGAUAUAAAAAUUCUGCCUUUAUCUGCAGGAUAUUUAAAGCCACAAUCAAGCAUGUCUUUCUAAAAUAUCUGGAAGGUUUCCACAUUUGUUAUAAAAUGAUAUAUAGUCAGGGCCCGUUAGUUCAGAUUCAUCAGUGUGACAGGAGAAGAGUUAAAAAAAGCAAAGAUAAAGGAGACGUUACAGGAAGAUGCACUUUAGUGCUGCUGUGCUGAAAUUUCAUUAAACUUAUGAAGGCAUAGUAAAAAGCUGAUUGCAGGAGGCAAGUACUUCCACUGACUUUCAGAAAGGAUUGCUUGAGGGAGGGUUAUUGUGGUGUUGAUCUAAUAAACUGUGUGAUCGCAGUCAAUUAAAGGUAAUGGCAUUAUUGAUUAUGUUGACAUCAUCUAGAAGACCUUAUAAUGGAGUUGGUUUCUGAGCUCUAAUCAACACUGGUACAUGGGCACUUGGGAUUCUCUUCUUAAAAGCGUGAUUUUGAGAAAUUAAUAUCAAGCAGACAAGUUGAAUGAAAGUCGCACCAGGAUACCCAGAUGUGUCACAGUAAGUAAAUGUGAUGGCAUAGUUUAAAAACGGCAGGCUUCCAUGUUCUGUCAUUCGGUAAAGGGCUAGGAGUAUACCCGGGUUUAUCAGCACCUAUUCAUAUAGAAGGCUUGAACUAAAACAAAGAUAUGGGCUAUAAAACCAAAAUGAUGAGCUGUAAGACACUACAAUACACCAGAGAGCCGAGGGGAACUGCAGAGCUGAUGAUAAUGCCCUUUGGGUUUGCCACCGAGGGCGACGCCUUUGUCAUUGAAUAUAAAAAAAAAAAAAAAUUGAUCAGUGCAGCUUUAAGAUGUUGAGUUUAACUAAAAUGGGCAUUGAACAGCUCUACUGGUGCAAAGGUGCAGGAACCAAGAGUCUUACUGGCUCAAGACGGAGUGACUCGUGUCUGUGAGGAGUUGAUAGGGCUGUUGAUCAAUACCACAGUCUCCACCAUUAUGUGAAGACCUGCUGAGCCUUCUGGCUUCCUUGUUAAGGGUUUUAUUAAGAUGUGUUUUUACUUCCAGGCAUUUCCUCUGACUAUAUAGAAAUAAAACCCCACAUGAAUUGGAUUUCCAAGACCCCUCUGUCAGAUAGGUUCAGCUCAGUCAUAUAAAAUGAUGUUUCAAGUGAGCAACAGCUACAGUUUCUUGUGCAAAUGCCAAUACCUCUUGGUCUCAAGUCAUAAAAGGAAAGAAAAUAGCAAAACCUUAUGUGAAGUAUUCUACUGACAAUUGGAGGGUUGUGUGAUGUGCAGUGCUUUCAAAAGAUUUGGUGACAUUCACUGUACUAAUUACUUAUCAUUUGUAGACUACUAGCUAUCUGGACAACCUGAUCAUUUAUUCACUCUUCUGAUAUCUUUGGGCACCUUUCAUUCAUUUCAUUUUUCGGUCCAGUCCUCCAACAGGUGACUUUUGUGGGGACCUUUAAAUGCAUCAGCCCCUGUUUUGUCCCCCCCAC
Monopterus albus (swamp eel) is the source of this 3461-nucleotide long non-coding RNA. RefSeq lists it as uncharacterized. The transcript is spliced from 3 exons. Lineage: Eukaryota; Metazoa; Chordata; Actinopteri; Synbranchiformes; Synbranchidae. The record is from RefSeq and is a predicted model, not a curated record.